CCUACGGGGGGCUGCAGUGAGGAAUAUUGGUCAAUGGCCGCAGGGCUGAACCAGCCAAGUCGCGUGAGGGAUGACGGUCCUAUGGAUUGUAAACCUCUUUUGUCAGGGAGCAAAGGGCGCCACGUGUGGCGCUUUGCGAGUACCUGAAGAAAAAGCAUCGGCUAACUCCGUGCCAGCAGCCGCGGUAAUACGGAGGAUGCGAGCGUUAUCCGGAUUUAUUGGGUUUAAAGGGUGCGCAGGCGGAAUGUCAAGUCAGCGGUAAAAUUUCGGGGCUCAACCCCGUCGUGACGUUGACACUGGCGUUCUUGAGUGAGCGAGAAGUAUGCGGAAUGCGUGGUGUAGCGGUGAAAUGCAUAGAUAUCACGCAGAACUCCGAUUGCGAAGGCAGCAUACCGGCGCUCAACUGACGCUCAUGCACGAAAGCGUGGGUAUCGAACAGGAUUAGAUACCCUAGUAGUC
This 459-nucleotide ribosomal RNA is filed under the name uncultured bacterium. RNAcentral's name for it is "partial 16S ribosomal RNA". It matches the Rfam family "Bacterial small subunit ribosomal RNA", at positions 338 to 795 of the family's 1533-position model. The record is from RNAcentral.